This 404-nucleotide ribosomal RNA is filed under the name Actinomycetes bacterium. RNAcentral's name for it is "Actinobacteria bacterium partial 16S ribosomal RNA". It matches the Rfam family "Bacterial small subunit ribosomal RNA", at positions 355 to 776 of the family's 1533-position model. Lineage: Bacteria; Bacillati; Actinomycetota; Actinomycetes. The record is from RNAcentral.
UGGGGAAUAUUGGACAAUGGGCGCAAGCCUGAUCCAGCCAUGCCGCGUGAGUGAUGAAGGCCCUAGGGUUGUAAAGCUCUUUCACCGGUGAAGAUAAUGACGGUAACCGGAGAAGAAGCCCCGGCUAACUUCGUGCCAGCAGCCGCGGUAAUACGAAGGGGGCUAGCGUUGUUCGGAUUUACUGGGCGUAAAGCGCACGUAGGCGGACUAUUAAGUCAGGGGUGAAAUCCCGGGGCUCAACCCCGGAACUGCCUUUGAUACUGGUAGUCUUGAGUUCGAGAGAGGUGAGUGGAAUACCGAGUGUAGAGGUGAAAUUCGUAGAUAUUCGGAGGAACACCAGUGGCGAAGGCGGCUAACUGGCUCGAUACUGACGCUGAGGUGCGAAAGCGUGGGGAGCAAACAGG